Molecule: long non-coding RNA, 1524 nt
Organism: Orcinus orca (killer whale)
Lineage: Eukaryota; Metazoa; Chordata; Mammalia; Artiodactyla; Delphinidae
Exons: 4
Source: RefSeq, a predicted model, not a curated record
AAAAAAAAAAAAAAAGCUGCCUCUGAAUGCUUCCGUGCAUUUGCCAAGACUCUGGAACUAUUAUCCUGAGGUGAGAGAAGAGACUGAGCCCAAGAAGGAAGCUGAGAAAGUGAAAUUUUUAUCCUGUGCAGCAGUCUGACAACGCCAGGCUGGUGGUGCAGACUGACAACGCCAAGCUGGCCUCAGAUGACUUUAGGACCAAGUGAAUGGAUAUGAGACAGAGGUGUCCUUGAGGCAGCUGGUGGAGCAGAUCUGAACAGUCUGAGCAGGAUCCUGGAUGAGCUGACCCUGUGCAAGUCUGACCUGGAGGCCCAGGUGGAGUCCCUGAAGGAGGAGCUGAUCUGCCUCAAGUAGAAUCAUGAGCAGGUGAAGUUCUCCAACAGGAUCAAACUCGCCAAAGCCUGUUUCCAGGUGCCAAGGGGUGUGGGAGAGGCUCAACCAGCUGAGGAAUCUGUUCUCCAAACAAAAAGGGAUUUGUAGAGAAUGAGUAAUCUGUGAUAGGAGACGAGGAUUUUUCUGCCAGUGGCAGGAAUGAGGGUGAAGGAGGUUGGCAAGCCCAGUAAUGAGGAAAGGUCAACAGCCAGGCGGUGCCCACAGCCGCUUCCUCUCCCAGGCUGGAGCACACGGGCCUGCACAGAUCUUUUAUUCCAAUUCUCCGUUUAGUAACAGGAGAAGCCAGCAGGACCACCCUGCAGAGAGGGCUGAGCUGGAAACACAACCCAACUCUCCCUUUUCUGGUCCGGAGCUCUUUCUGCUGUUCAGUGUUGCCUGGAGGAAACACUGUAAAGUGCUCACAUCAUUGCUAGAUUAGUUGCACAAUAAAGAAGACAGAUAUUUUGUGCAAACCUUAAUGCCAGAACAAUGUAAAUGGUGAUAGUUAAUAUUAAUUGAGUGCUUACUGUGUGCCAAAUGCUGUGCUAAGUGCUUUAGAACUUCAUCUUACAGAUGAAGCACUUGAGGCUUCUAGAAGCUUCUAGAAGCUUUCUAGUAAGUGGUAGACAAGAAACCCAAUUCAAAUCUGUCUGACAUCCACCUAAGCCCAAGCAGCUAAGCUGUGUUGGGUGUGUGAAGAGAUUAGCUGAUAGUUACCUCCUUUAUCAAUAGCUAAACUAGUGAAAUCAGCAAAUCACCAGUUAAGUCUAUUCUAUCCCAGGCUGGCAGAUUUUGAAGUAAACAUUCUUUGUUUCCUCUUUAGCUGCGCUCUAUCCUUCUUAUUACGCAUGGCUAAGAAGCAAACCAUAGUCUAUAUGGUAUACUAACAAGAACACUGGAUUGGGUGUUUGGGCUCCGGAGUUUAAAUCAAGGUCUAUUGCAUGUCGGCUCUGAGUCCAAAUCCCUGCACCUCUUUAAGUGAGGAGUGGUAUACUGAGUACAAAGGCGGAAGGAGGUCAUGGACUUGAAAGCACUCUGUAAAGUGGAAUGUUCAGGAAGCCAACUCCCUCCGGAGGCAGCUUGGAGACCGCCUCAACGAGGAGGGCUGACAUGAGAGGAGGAACCAUAGGGACUGGAAUGUGAUGGAGAGUC